UGGACGUUCAUGUCCCAUUUACUGAUGGUGGCAUUUAGUUUAUUGUGGCCACUUCGCAGUCUCAUCAGUGCAGUUUGUAUGGCUCUAUUCCUGUGUGUAUGCCAGGUGCAUACGCCCAUUCGGUUUCUAUUUGUUACGGCUUGGUUGGUGGAGUUUUGUUUUAUUUUUUCGAGUGUUCUGUUUUGGUGUUUGUUUUUAUUUUCGUUAGGAUUUCUGCCAUGUUGGGUGAGUGCGUCAUCGUCGCCCCGUCGUCUGCACUUCUUCUGAUGUUUGCUAGCUGGUCUGCGAUUUCAUUUCCUCUUAUUCCAGAAUGACUUGGUAUGGAUGUGCUUGUUUCCCAUUUGAAGUUGGAGAUUGCUUGGAUAGCUGACUUGGAGUCUGUUAAUAUGGUGAUUUCGUUCCAGAUUUGAUUGUAUAUAUACAGCACAGGUGGUCUUCAGUGUCUUCAGACAAGUUGAUCCGUCAGUGAAGAUGGCUAUGUGGUCUUUAUGUUCACUGUUCCUAAUCUCAAGGAACAUCGUUGAGGUUCCAUGGUGCUAUUGGAUGAGUGUAAGGUUGGUGUGUGGGCUCUGGCAAUUGGGGGAUUAUUCCAUCUUCUACUGCGUUGAGAUGCCUUAUUAUUGCAGGACUUUGCAGAGGCAUGAUGUGAGGGAUAUUGGCCUAUAGGAAUCAGGCAAAUUCGGUGGCUUGUUCGGCUUUGGUAUGGGUACGACGAUGGCAUUCUUCCAUUCUGGGGUAAGU
Long non-coding RNA from Daphnia magna, 741 nucleotides. RefSeq lists it as uncharacterized. The record is from RefSeq and is a predicted model, not a curated record. Lineage: Eukaryota; Metazoa; Arthropoda; Branchiopoda; Diplostraca; Daphniidae. The transcript is spliced from 5 exons.